RNAcentral lists this ribosomal RNA (451 nucleotides) under uncultured bacterium. Its description in RNAcentral is "partial 16S ribosomal RNA". It matches the Rfam family "Bacterial small subunit ribosomal RNA", at positions 29 to 523 of the family's 1533-position model. The record is from RNAcentral.
AGCGAACGCUGGCGGCAGGCUUAACACAUGCAAGUCGAGCGGGCAUCUUCGGGUGUCAGCGGCGGACGGGUGAGUAACGCGUGGGAACGUGCCUUCUGGUUCGGAAUAACUCAGGGAAACUUGAGCUAAUACCGGAUACGCCCUUUUGGGGAAAGGUUUCCUGCCGGAAGAUCGGCCCGCGGUUGAUUAGCUAGUUGGUGGGGUAACGGCCUAGCAAGGCGACCAUCAGUAGCUGGUCUGAGAGGAUGAUCAGCCACACUGGGACUGAGACACGGCCCAGACUCCUACGGGAGGCAGCAGUGGGGAAUAUUGGACAAUGGGCGCAAGCCUGAUCCAGCCAUGCCGCGUGAGUGAUGAAGGCCUUAGGGUUGUAAAGCUCUUUUAUCCGGGACGAUAAUGACGGUACCGGAAGAAUAAGCACCGGCUAACUACGUGCCAGCCGCCGCUGUAA